RNAcentral lists this ribosomal RNA (492 nucleotides) under uncultured bacterium. RNAcentral describes it as "partial 16S ribosomal RNA". It matches the Rfam family "Bacterial small subunit ribosomal RNA", at positions 29 to 507 of the family's 1533-position model. The record is from RNAcentral.
AGUGAACGCUGGCGGUAGGCCUAACACAUGCAAGUCGAACGGCAGCACAGUAAGAGCUUGCUCUUACGGGUGGCGAGUGGCGGACGGGUGAGGAAUACAUCGGAAUCUACUUUUUCGUGGGGGAUAACGUAGGGAAACUUACGCUAAUACCGCAUACGACCUACGGGUGAAAGCAGGGGAUCUUCGGACCUUGCGCGAUUGAAUGAGCCGAUGUCGGAUUAGCUAGUUGGCGGGGUAAAGGCCCACCAAGGCGACGAUCCGUAGCUGGUCUGAGAGGAUGAUCAGCCACACUGGAACUGAGACACGGUCCAGACUCCUACGGGAGGCAGCAGUGGGGAAUAUUGGACAAUGGGCGCAAGCCUGAUCCAGCCAUGCCGCGUGAGUGAAGAAGGCCUUCGGGUUGUAAAGCCCUUUUGUUGGGAAAGAAAAGAAGCAGGUUAAUACCCCGCUGUUCUGACGGUACCCAAAGAAUAAGCACCGGCUAACUUCGUG